UAUUAUUUAGUCGACGUCGUCCGUAAGGCGCGUACGGGCCUAACGAGCGUCGAAACUAAGCCCGUCGUUAAAAUAUUUUAACGACUUUUAACGACGGGCUUAGUUUCGACGCUCGUUAGGCCCGUACGCGCCUUACGGACGACGUCGACUAAAUAAUA
RNAcentral lists this microRNA precursor (158 nucleotides) under Helianthus annuus (common sunflower). Lineage: Eukaryota; Viridiplantae; Streptophyta; Magnoliopsida; Asterales; Asteraceae. The record is from RNAcentral.